GCAGGAUGCCUAGAGUUACUGUAAAACACGUUAACCAGCAGGAGUUCAUCAGAGCUCUGGCAGCCUUCCUCAAAACGUCCAGGAAGCUGAAAGUCCCCGAAUGCGUGGACACAGCCAAGCUGGCCAAGCAUAAGGAGCUUGCUCCCUACGAUGAGACCUGGUUCUACACACGAGCUGCUUCCACAGCACGGCACCUGCACCUCCGGGUGGUGCUGGGGUUGGCUCCAUGACCAAGAUCUAAGGGGGGUGUCAGAGAAACGGCGUCAUACCCAGCCACUUCAGUCGAGGCUCCAAGGGUGUGGCCCACUGGGUCCUCCAAGCCCUGGAGGGGCUGAAAAUGGUGGAAAAGGACCAAGAUGGGGGCUGCAAAUUGACACCUCAGGGACAGAGAGAUCUGGACACAAUUGCCGGACAGGUGGCGGCUGCCAAGAAGAAGCAUUAG
Molecule: RNA transcript, 442 nt
Organism: Otolemur garnettii (small-eared galago)
Lineage: Eukaryota; Metazoa; Chordata; Mammalia; Primates; Galagidae
Gene name: 40S ribosomal protein S19 pseudogene
Exons: 1
Source: RefSeq, a predicted model, not a curated record